GCGGCGCGGAGGCAAGGGCUGGGCCGGAAGUGAGCGGCCGGCAGCUGGGCCGCGACGCGGAGGGUCGGUCGGGCCGAGGUAGGGGGGGCGGGGGUCCGCGCACAGCCUCCCGGCGCGGCCUCGGGGGAAGGACCCCACCCUAGGACGGGCUGCUCGGGCUAGGACUUCCAGUACUAUUUUGAAUAAAAGUGGUUGGAAUGGGCAUCCUUGUCUUCUUCCUUAUAUCAGAGGAAAAUCUUCCAGCUUUUCAACAUAAAAUGUGAUCUUAGCUGUGAACUUGUAUAUAUGGCCUUGACUAUAUUGAGUUCUGCUCCUCUGGAAUGUGAUGUUGCCAUCUUGGACUGUGAGGUUGAAGCCCGGUAGGACAAAACAUUGAGAUGAAUGGAUCCUGGAUUCCUGUAGCAUGGGUUAUCUUACCUCAAAAGCUACCAGAUUAUUGUUAAAAAAAAAUAAACACGUUUUGAGAGUCUACUGACCAUCAGCCAGAGGGAAGGUUCUGAGUCAUCCAAGUUCUCCAGCUGGCAAAGAAGUAUGAAAAAGCUCCUGGCCAGAUCUGUAGAUGCUGGAGCAUCCGGAAGAGGAUGUGAUUACAAUACCAAAAUCCACCAAAUGUGAAAGAGUGAAGGAAAACUGUCAGGUGACAACCAAUUCUUUUUAUUCCAGAGAUACAGGACCUUGGGAUCAUGAUCUGAGUGGAAGGCAGACGCUCAACCUCUGAGCCACCCAGGGAUCCGGUGUUUUUCUUCUAAUUCAAGUCAACUCAACAAACACUGAGGGUCGGAAUGUGCCAGAUACGAAAGAUGAAGAAGGUCUACUGUCAAGAAGCUCAAGUCUAGUGGGGAGACGUGAUGCAGGGGCACAACAGUCCAGAUGUGUAAAUGGUCUUAUUGGUAUUUACCUGUAAAAGCUUUUACUCCUCUAAAAGCAGGAGUGGCUUGGGAGAAGUAGGGAAGACCUCGUCUAGCAGGUGUUUAUUGAGCUGAAGAGUCAAUUCAUACUGAAGCAGAAAUCUCCUAAGGUGCAUUUCAGACAUAAGCAAAGGCAUGCUUCAUGCACACACACACACACACACACACACACAACACACACACAGGCACGUGCACACAUCCACUAUUUGUAAGGUACAAGAUGGUCAGUGUGCUGAAUUAGAUGCCUAGGUUGUGUGAGGAGAGGACAAGAACAGGACUUAUUUAAAACCUUAGAAGACCCUAAGCAAAUGAGAAGAUAAUGCCAUUCUCCAUCCUCUACAGAUAAAACUAAAUAAAAACUAAUCCUACAUCAUAAAGCAAGUGUAGGGAAAUCAAUAGAGUUCUAAUUUUUCACUACUUUGAUGCAUUGUAAUAACAAAUAUAAAAAAUUUUUCCUAAUAUUUCUUCUCCUUUUUAAGGUAUAUUAAGAACUUACAGAUGGCAAUUACAGCUAGCUUUCACUGAUGCCUUACUAAAUUCCGGGAGCUAUGAUAAACCCUUCAUGUAGAUUAUGUCACGGAACCCUCCCAACAGCCUUAGGGGGAAAAUACUAUUGUUGCUUUUAUUAUUAUUAUUAUAGGUAAAGAAAUCGAGGCUUAGAGAGAUUAAUUAACUUACCCACAGUCACACAGCUAGAAUGUGAUCCACCCAGGACUGAUGGGGUGGGCAGUCUGACAACACGAUCCAAAGGAAUUCUCUGCCUCAACAUCAUGCCUCAAGGAGUCAGUAUAUUAGAAGGCUUGGCAAGUGCAAAGUGUUUCCUCCUCGCAAUGCUCUUCAGGCCUUGGAUUCAUUCACUCAUUCAGUCAAUAAUUAUCAAGUACCUACUAUGUGCUAAGACUGUGGUAGGCACGGAGGAUCAGAGGAGAUUAUUAUGGAAGUUAUCUCUGUCCUCGUGGAGUUACCAUCGGCUGAUCACAAUUAAGUGUGAGGAGAAUUCUGGCAAGGAUGGUCCUAAAGAAACGUGAAAAGUUCGAGCUAGUUCAGGAACCCAGGAAUUGCUCUCUAAAGAAGUGAGGACUAGGGGCAUCUGGGUGGCUCAGUUGGUUACGCACCUGCCUUCAGGUCAGGAUCUCAGGGCCCUGGGAUCCAGCUGCAAGUCCGACUCUCUGCUCCCUGGGGUGUCUGAUGCUCCCUCUCCCUUUCCCUUCCCUCCACCCCUGCUCAUGCUGUCUCUGCUCUCUCUCUCUCUCCUUCCAAAUAAAUAAAUAAAUAAAUGAUCUUUAAAAAAAAAAAGUGAGGACUACACUGAGAUCUAAGGGACCAGCGGAAGUUCCCCUGGUGAACUGGAGAAAGGAGCUUUCUGCAAGGUAAAUGCCAGGAGAGGUGAGCAUGCAAACCGGGCACAGCUCCUCCUCUGAGGAAGGAUUUGCUGCCCCAGGCAGUGGCUCUGCUGGCAGCCCUAUGGGCAUUGCCUCAGCUGCAGAAAGGUGCCUCGCCCAAGGUCACGUCCGCACAGGCCACUUGAGGGGCCCUUUCGGUGGCACAGGAGCCUGCACGUUUGGCUGAGGCUGUCAUGGGCCUCACAGCCUGAUUUCUCCCUUUCCAAUCCUGCUUCCGCCCCCUCCCUUCCACGGGGGUGACUUCAAGGGCACUCCCUAAUAAACAUCCUGAGCACUAACCCUGCCCGAGUCUGUUUCCCGGAGAACCCAAAGGGCACUGCAGCGCGAGGCCUUUGAUGAGUUAAGGUCCUAAGGGGCUUUCAGAAUGACUGUGGGUUGAGUGGGCAAGAGAGAUGGAGUGAGGCUGCAAAGGUGGGCAAGGGUCAAAUAAAUCCCAAAGCACCUGAUAAACCAUGCUAAAGACUUCUUUUUUUAAUUUUAUUUACUUAUUCAUGAGACACACAAAGAGAGAUGCUCAACGUUUCAAGUAUAAUGAUUCAUUAUACCUUAGGCUGAAAUGCUGCUAGUUACCAAAACCAUGGUUGUUUGAAAUUUUUUUCCUCCAGGUUUUAUUUAAAUUCCAGCUAGUUAACAUACAGUGUAAUAUUAGUUUCAGGUAUAGAAUUUAGUAAUUCAUCACUUCCAUAUUACACCCAGUGCUCACCAGUACAAGGGCCCGCCUUGAUCCCCAUCACCUGUUUAACCCAUCUCCCCCUCCACCGCCCCGCCCACAUCCCAUCUGGGGACCAUCAGUUUCCUUUGAAACUAUUAACAAAAGAAAAUGAUUCGUGAAACUCACCCACAAGCAUUUAUUUUGGGACACAUAAAUAAGACAUUGGGCAAAAGACUCCUCUCACCAAAAAAUGUGGCCAAGUGACUUAGGAAUCUGAAAGCUGAAGAGUGGCUUUAGGAGGUGAAUAAGUAGAUGAGAGAGAGGUCUGCUGAAUUUCUCUAGCACCUCAGUGCGUGCUCAACACAUCCGCACUUACGUGCACGCACACACACUCACACAUUCACACAUGCGUAUACAAACAACACUACACCUUUUUCUUCCACACAUCACUUUCAACCCAGAUUAGUUCAGCAAUGGCUUCAUGUGACUGUUUUCUUUGUCUGCACCCUCUAAAAAGGAUUAAAACCAAAAACAUUAAAAAACAUACCCUUGGAUUCAAACUUCAGAACUAUUUGAUCGUGCAUGUAAAGAUGCAAGCCCUAGAAUGGGUCACAAAAUCCCAACCUUUCACCUCUAAAGGAUAGUUUUACAUCCAGCACAGUGAUGUAGCCAGAGGCAGCCAGAGGCAUACAUACAAUCAUAUCUUUUCCGAGUGAACGAAACCAAGCUUCUGCUUCUGUGAUUGCACCUUCUCUGAGAUCCUGUCCCUUCACCUUGGCAUGCCCGAGAAACCAGUGUGAGCCCUUCCUCCAGGGUAACAUAUGCUCCAUCUGAUUGUUAAUGUUUGUAAAGUUUAUACUUUGCUUUUCUGCUGUGUGUACCUUUCUUUAUAUUUUAAUCUUUUUCUUCUAUUCCACAUAGCCUGGAAGUUUUUACAUUGUCUUGGAAAAGGGAGUGUGUGUCUACUUUCCAUUUCUGAGUUUCUGGCUUCUUAUUUUGCAAGUGUAACCAUCACAGCCUAUGAGAGGUGCUUGUCCCUUCACAUUCCCACCAGGCCUCAGACGUAUUUACCUGAUAGCAUGUUUGCGGUGGGUUAAACCGGAUCCAUGCUAUCUUCCUGCCAAGUAUGAUAUGAUGUGUAAACGUUCAUAUCGUGCCGUCACUGAGCAUAAGCCACUGUUUUCUUUUAUACGUAUUAAGUCCCACACAUCACAAGAAAGGAAUCCCGUUAUCUCGGGCCGGCUGGGAAUAUUAGGGCGGCUGCGAGGCUUGUAUGGGUUACAGUUCAAGUUGUCUUUUUUCUUGUCAAAUGUUUUGUCUAGUUUUCAUACUUGUGGCAAUGUUUUCAAAGAUCUUUUCUGGAUAUUUUACCAUGGAUCUGAUCAUUUUCCAGAGAACUAAGAACUUUUAACCCUUCGGUUCGUUGACCAACGACCCCAUUUAGCACGUUACUGCAGGGCGUGUGCACCUACCUGGCAAAGUCCCAUCCAGCUGCGAAAUAUCCUGGUGUCCUCUGAACCUCUAGCGUGGAAAAAAUAGUAAAAGUGAAAGGAACUUUUGGUUUCUGCCUAAACACGUAUGUCAUUUAGCUGACCUAAACAGGAUGUGAGUCGUAUUGAUUUUGUUCUAGAGGCUUUAAUACCCAUUUUAUUUGCAAGCAAAGAAAUUAAAAGAAAGAAAAUGGAAAACUCCAUUCUUCCUCCGAUUUCCUCUUAGGGUUUUCUCAAAGGUUGCAGCCAAGAUACAACAGAGCUUAGUUUCAGGAAAUGGUAACAACGUUGUAGAAUUUUGGAGUGACUGUUAGUUAAACCAAGGUAAUGUUAUAACUCAUGUCAGUUUUUUGGGGUUCUUGUAAUACUUCAGAGAGAAAUCCAACGUGACUCUUUCUUCCAAUUGAGCCACCGCGAGGGGCCUAGGGCAUACCGUGGGGCCUCCUGCCUCCUUCGCGCACCAGGGCUGGGCCCUGAGCUGCAGCAGCGCCCUUCCAGGCGGUUCCCUCCCAAUCCACAGCUUCAGCAUUCAGUUCUCCUACUGUCCAUCGCCUGUCCAUCCAGCCGUCUGUCCACCCCAUUCAUAUUACAGAACUCCUGGUGGAAAUGCUGGUAAGCUCAUAACACAGGGAGAAACUGAAUUUCCCAGCUUUGCCAGAACAUGGUGCUCACUAGAGGAGUGGAAAAGCAAUUGGAAACCAUAAACAGGGACAGCAGAGAGAGUAAACAAAGUGUGGAAGGGCGAGGCUUGUCUUGAUGAGUGACUAAGUAGGCAGCUUCCUGUGAGCCCUUUAAAGAAUGAUGUUUAAAAAACUGGUCCCUAUUAGUUCUUGACUACAGAGCAGACCAAUUUAUUUGAGGGGGAAAUAUAUAUAUCGAUAAUUAUAUCAAGCACAAAUAUAUGUGGUUUACUUUUAAAGUGCAAGAGACUAUGUUAGUCCAAUAAUCCUAGUCUCCGAAAUGGGACAUCUUAUGCUAUAUUCUUAAAAAGAAAAAAAAAAGUAACUUAGACUCAUGUAUCUCCAUGUAGAGCCCUCAUCUGUAAAUUAUACCCAUACUCUGGAUCCCUCAGGCAUUGCGCAAAAUAGAAACUGAUUUAUUUUAUUAACUAUCAUUUAAAUUUAUAAUGGGACAACACCUGUUACAACUUUUACAUGUCCAAUGUACUUCAGGAGCUCAGCACCUCUAGUCAGCUUGCAGUUGUUCCGUGCCUAUCGGUGUUCUCUCUCCGAGUCAAAUGUAUGUUCCAUAAGAACAGGUGGCAUUAUACUCCUCUCUUUUCCCUCUAGUCCCCAACUCAGUGCUGUGUACUUAACUGAUACUUAAUAAAUACCGAACUGAUUGAGCUAAA
Long non-coding RNA from Canis lupus familiaris (dog), 5804 nucleotides. RefSeq lists it as uncharacterized. NCBI's taxonomy places the organism in Eukaryota, Metazoa, Chordata, Mammalia, Carnivora, Canidae. The transcript has 7 exons. The record is from RefSeq and is a predicted model, not a curated record.